This 312-nucleotide transfer RNA is filed under the name Fusobacterium necrophorum subsp. funduliforme. RNAcentral describes it as "16S-23S ribosomal RNA intergenic spacer". The stretch from base 39 to 112 matches the Rfam family "tRNA". Lineage: Bacteria; Fusobacteriati; Fusobacteriota; Fusobacteriia; Fusobacteriales; Fusobacteriaceae. The record is from RNAcentral.
UCUAAGGAGUAUUCUUGUUGUUCUUAUCUAUUCCGAAUGCGUUCGUAGCUCAGCUGGUUAGAGCACACGCCUGAUAAGCGUGAGGUCGGUGGUUCAAGUCCACCUGGACGCACCCAUAUAUGGGGGAUAUAGCUCAGUUUGGGAGAGGGACGCACCUUGCACUGCGUAGGUCAGCGGUUCGGAUCCCCGCUUAUCUCCCACCAUGUAUUUUUUUUUAUGGACCCUUGGAAACUGUAUAGUAGAUCAAAAACAAACAAGAAUAAAGAACAAAGAACUCUAGUUUCUAGAGUUAGCUGUCAAAGAAAAAAACAA